UAACCUGCCCAAGAGAUCGGGAUAACACCUGGAAACAGAUGCUAAUACCGGAUAACAACAGAUGAUGCCUAUCAACUGUUUAAAAGAUGGUUCUGCUAUCACUCUUGGAUGGACCUGCGGUGCAUUAGCUAGUUGGUAGGGUAACGGCCUGCCAAGGCGAUGAUGCAUAGCCGAGUUGAGAGACUGAUCGGCCACAUUGGGACUGAGACACGGCCCAAACUCCUACGGGAGGCAGCAGUA
Molecule: ribosomal RNA, 240 nt
Filed under: uncultured Lactobacillus sp.
Lineage: Bacteria; Bacillati; Bacillota; Bacilli; Lactobacillales; Lactobacillaceae
Description: partial 16S ribosomal RNA
Rfam family: Bacterial small subunit ribosomal RNA
Source: RNAcentral